AGGAACAAAGGAGGGCAGCCAUCUUUCAGUCCUCAGCCAAGAGCUGGUGAACUUUCAGGAUGUCAUUAAUUGUGCACUCAGUGAACUUGUAGAUAAAGAGAAAGCGAUGGGCGUGUCAAGUGGGCGUGGUCACAUGGCCCAAGAUAUUGAGAGCUUUGACAGCGACAUCGAUAAUACAGACAACAAGAGGCAAAGAACAUAAACAAUAUAAUCAUUGUAUUAUAGUAAUGUUGUUGCUCAGUCUCUAUCAGCAAUAGCUACUAGCCUCUCGUCCAC
Halichondria panicea is the source of this 276-nucleotide long non-coding RNA. RefSeq lists it as uncharacterized. NCBI's taxonomy places the organism in Eukaryota, Metazoa, Porifera, Demospongiae, Suberitida, Halichondriidae. The record is from RefSeq and is a predicted model, not a curated record. The transcript has 2 exons.